CAGCUUUCUCAUUUGAGCUAGCUUCCUAAAUUUAUUAAAAUAAAUUUAAGCAUCACUACUUUUAGGCAUCUAGUUCACCUCUAGGAAAACCUAAUUAAGUGAAGAAGAAAUCAGAAAACAAAAACAACUAUGCCCCUUGUCUUAGUUCAUUUGAGCUGUUGGAACAAAACACCACAGACUGGUGUCUUAUACACAACAGAAAUUUAUUUCUCACAGUCCUGGAGGACGGAAGUCUGAUGUCGGGUGCCAGCACGGUCAAGUGAGGGCACUUUUUUGGGUUAUUGACUUCCCCCUAUGUCCUCACAUAGGAUAAGGGGCUACAGGGCUCUGUGGGGUCUCUUUUAUAAGAGCAUUAAUCCCAUUGAUGAGGGUUCCACUCUCAUGACCUAAGCACCUCCCAAGGGCCCCACCUUCCAAUACUAUCACAUAGGACAUUAGGAUUUCAACCUGAAUUUGGGGGAUGGGAGGCACAAACAUUCAGACCAUAGCACUCACUUAACUACCACUCAAUAAGUUACCACCUGUAAACCUGCUAUGUGCCUGGCUCUAACUAGUCAUUUCACAUGCAUUAUUUAAAAUCCUUCCCACAAUCCUAUAUAUGUAUCAUAUAGGGGUUGCCUCUAUUUUAAGGAUAGGAAACUGAGGGUCAGAGGGUUGUCACACACUAGCAGGAGGAGGAAACUCUAAGAGAUGAACCCAGUUUCUCUGACCCCAAAGGGCAUGUUCUUCCCACUCUGAUAUAUACUCUUUGUUUAUUCAACAUUCACUCAACAAAUACGUCAAUUUUUUUCAGGAAAAGUCAUAGAAAUUGUACCUCACAUACUUGGAAAGACAUUUGUCAGAAAAAUAGAAAUCUACUUUUAAACACAGACCAAUGCUCUGUUCUAAUAAAAUAAAAUAGGGAUAUUUGUUUUUAAGUGAACUACUAAUUCUGAAAUAAUCACAUGGCUCAGAGAGAGAAGUCAUUUAGCCAUUAAUGAGGUUCUGGGCCUUCAUUAACUUUAAUAAAACUAGAUCUGGCUCUUUAAAUUAAGCAAGAAUAAUUCAAAUCUGAGGACAGUUUCCGACCCAGAGUAGAAUGUCGUCCACGGCUGGCAGAUACGUCACUGUAAGGAUACUAAGCAUUUGAAAGGGCUAGUGAACAUUUGCAAUCUGAGGUUAAUGGGAAACCAAUCAUAAGCCUAACUUAUUAUUACUCUACUAGGAAACUAUUUUAUUGAAGACAAAUGAUCUCUUUGGGUAGGUAUUUUAAGGAAGGAGAUUACAUUUUCUUCUUGGUACAUUUCUUUCGGAAGCAUCCCAACUAACCGUCUGCAGCAGAGGUCAACUGCCUUUCUGUAAAGGACCAAAGGGUAAAUAUGUCAAACUUUGCAGGUCACAGGGUCUCUGUUGCAGCUAUUCAACACUGCCACUGUAGUGUGAAAGCAGCCUUAGACAAUAGGUAAAAGAACGAAUGUGGCUGUGUGUCAAUAAAACUUUAUUUACAAAAUGGGGAGCCAGGGGAGAGGGCUGUGGUUUGCCCAUCCUGGGCGACAGUAUUAGAUAAUAAAUGUUGCUUCUACUUAUAUGCCCAAGAGACCAUAAUACCAAAGAAGCCAAGUGACAUUUAUUAAUUUUUUAUCUCACUGUGAAUAUCAGAGCACUCAAAACCAACACAGAAUAUGACAUUUCUUUAAUGUGAAUGUUGCCAUACUUAUUUUAGAUAAUUUGGAUGAAAUCUUUGAUGUUAGCUUAUCUGUUGUAUUUCUUAGUGGCUCUCCAUAAAAAUAGAAAAGAAUGUAGAUGCAGGUGACGGAAAGAGCCCAGGAUGAGCCUCUCGGUACCCAGAAUCAUAUAGCUGAUGGGAAUCCUGGGUCAGAAUUUGAUUAAUGGAUGAUGAAUAUGUUUCCAAAUGUUGAUGCAAAUAAUCCAUAAUCAAUCUAUAAAUCAAAAUUGGGUGAGUUUAUCAUGAGCCAGGUCUGAGGACUAUAGCUUGGGGGCUUCCUUCCCCAAGGAAAGACAUACACCAGAGAAGUGGAGUGUACAGAGUGGUUAUAUACUAUCUUGGAACAAAGAACGUACAUCACAUAUGCCAGGAAUAUCUCUUUUACUACUGUCACUAGAUGCUUAGCUAGCAUAGCAGGUCAGUGGUCACAAGGUGAGAACAGCAGAUCUGUAAUUAAUCCUUAGUUUCCAGGAAGAGAUACUUAUUCUUAAAGAAAUGCUAAUCUAGGGGGAAGCUGAAUCUCUACCUUUAAGGGCAUAAUUCUUGUCUUUGGGACAUUGUAAAUGCUUAAAGCAGAUGUACAAUGCAUGUUCAAGAGGCCACAUCAGGGCUUUCUGGAAUAACAAGUUCAGGCUGAAUUAAUUUUAAACCAUAUGGCUUCCUCAUAUACUCCAGUAUAUCCUAUUGCUCUUCAUUUAUUCAUCAAAACUUAUAUAUUCUACCAUUUCUGGGACUCUAGAAUUGUGCAGAUUAGUAGCAGGAUAAUUUCACAUAAGUUACGAAUAAGUUACUAGAAUUUUCUGUGGCCAAAGUAUAUGCUGACUCUUCUAAAGUAUUGAUCAAGAUUAAGCAACCUUUCAUGAAGGUUCUUGGCUUUUUACUUGUGUGUGUUUAACCACAAAUAGAUGUAUCAUUUUAGACAGCUAAUAAUAACAUAUUCAAUAAGGUUUGGUAAAGCUAAUAGACUAACUUAAUUGCAGCUCUUUUUCCUAGAGGUUUUUUCAGGGUUAUUAAAAAAUGGCAUUUGUUUUAUAUAUUUUUCUUAGUUAUGAUGGAGAAUCUCUAUGAUAAUAUGAAAAAUCCAAUAUGCCAUUCCUCAGAGUCUUGGUUAUCAAUCUCAUUAUGAUGUCAUAGCAUGCGAGACAUUGGAGCUCAGCUCUAGGUAAAGAGAAGAGAGAGCACUGACAAUCUAAAACUGAUUUUGAAAUCAAAGUCAUUUUCUAAGUUUACUUAGUAGUAAGAGUAGUACUGUAGCAAAUGCUACUAUGGUGGCAGUUAACAUUUACUGAGUUAUAACGCAUGCAAGAUACCAUGUUAAGCACUUCACAUAUAUCAUAUUUAAUCUCCAAAAUAACCUAAUGAUGGAGGUAUAAUUUUAUAGAUGAGGAAAGUUAAACCAAAAGACUCAAAACCAGAUCAGUCUGAUAGCAAAGUCACUGCUUUUAACUCCUAUGCCAGUGAUUCUCACAGUGUGGUCCCUGGACCGGCAGCACCAGCAUAACCUGGGAACAUGUUAGGAAUGCAGAUUCUCAAGCUUCACCCCCUACCUGCUGAAUCAGAAACCCUGGGGAUGGGAUCCAGGAAGCUGUGUUUUAAAUUUCUUUUUUUUUUCAAGAUUGGCACCAAUCUUCUCUUUUUUCUUUUUCUGCUUUUUCUCCCCAAAUCCCCCCAGUACAUAGUUGUAUAUUCUAGUUGUGAGCGCCUCUGACUGUGCUAUGUAUCUGGGACGCCGCCUCAGCGUGGCCUGACGAGCGAUGCCAUGUCCACGCCCAGGAUCCGAACCAGCGAGACUCUGGGCCACUGAAGCGGAGCGCGAGAACUUAACCACUUGGCCACGGGGACGAUCCCCAGGAACCUGUGUUUUAAUAAGUCCUUUCCUGAUGAUUCCUAUAUCCACUGACAUUCAGGAACCAUUGUACUAUGCUAGACGGCAUUUAAAAGAAAUGCCAAACAUUGAAUAAAUGUUAGUUGCUCAAUCCAUUAAACACAAUAAUAGGAGAGAACUACCUAGCACAGCUUGGGGCUCACAUAAGCACUAGAAUAUAAUAGUUUAUUUCUAUGGCAUUAAUAUAAGUCAUUUGUGUGUAUCGUGAGGUUAGAUUAUUAGAAACUGUGCCUGAACUGCCAUGAGAGUUAGAAAUUCUGUUUUCUAAAGUGGCAGAAGCCCCAGCACUAUUAGAAAGGAAACAAAGGCAAAUAUGAAUACAUGCUACUUAGUGGCCAACCAACGCCUUGAGAGAUUGUUUUAAGCUACAAACGAAUUCCAUGUUCUAUACUUAUCAAAAUACCCAUCGCUUUAUCUGAUUUCACGGUAGCCAGAAAUUCACAUAUUUGGUAACAUUCCUUUGAGAGGAACUAAGAAAUCUGAGCAACGAAUGUGAUGGUGACACAGAGUAACUGCUGACCAAAGAUUUAACAACUUUUUAAAUAACAAAAUAAUGGAUCUGAUCAAUGAUAUUUUUAAUGAGAUAUUUUAACGGAUGCUAUCAGUGAUAUAAUUUAGUGGGAUAUUUUUGGUGAUAUUUUUAUGAAUUUUUAUUUUCAUAAAACGUCUCUCUCACCUCAUCUUCUAGCCUCUUCUCUACUCAGAUUUUGCAAAAUCCUGCACAUGUGUGUGGCUCAAAAUGCCAGGUGUAAUGGGAAGCUGCCACAGGAAAGAUAGAAAAAUUCACUGCCAUCUGAUACUUAUUAACACGAGAAAAAACAGGAAUACUGUCCUGUGAGUCAGUUCAUAAUUGUUCUUUUCAAAGAAUUAACAAGGUGAGACCAGAAAUUUAUCUGAGAGAAUGUACUCAAUGUAGUGAGGCCCCCAAAAGAAAAAAGGGCACCAGCACUUUGUGCCGAAAUGAGACCAGAGUACAAAUUCCUGAAAAUGCCCGAUGCUCCCUACAUGGUAGCCCAGCACAUUGGCAAUCCCCAUAGCCACACGGGCUGGUCUGGUCUUGGGGAUUACCAGGAGCGCAGAAAGGCUUGGCUGCAGUAACAGCCUUAGACCUGGGACAGUAGGCUGCUGCCCUGGGCCCAGUGCUUUCUUCAAAAUUUUUGAAGUUCCCUGGGGUGCCUGGCAAUGCCACCUGGGUGGGACACCCCAAACCUGGAUGGAUUCCUGGGAGUUUGGUCCUUAUUUCCAUCCUUCAGGACACUCUUUGACCCUUGAUCCUGUGUGUGGGGUCACCACCUGCCCCAAGGAACUCCGAGACUCAUGCUCCUGGGAUCAUAAUCCCCACCUAUGGGGCUUCCAGGAGGGUGGGCUCAUGAGCUGGUCAUUUCCGCUGGCUGUUGCAGUAUUUCUCUCAUGAGAUUGAGCCCCCCAAAAUGUGCUGACACUCUGAUUUGAGGUGACUCACUCAUGGUGGUCACAGGAGACGUUCAGGACUCAGGGUUACCAGGACCAAUCCCACCCAGCUUUGGACUUGAGCUCUUCAGCAUCGGCUCUUGCCUGCCCGUUCCAUCCGUGGCCUCCUAGGGCCACAACACCCAAGGGCAGGAGGGAGGCUGCAGGUGUCCUUUACCUGUGUACUCUACUGCUGGCACACAGGGUUACCCCACCCCUCCAUAAGUUCCUUUCCCUACCCAUGUCGGGCAGUCCUCUGAGGUGGCCAAGCCUAUCUCCUCCAAGGGCUUUCUAGACCAUUGCUUUAGAAUGCAGAUGGGCCCUUCUGCUCAGGGUCCUCUUUUGCCUCCAGUGGAUUUGGUGGCCUCAUGCUCUCCUGGGGCGAGGGACGAACAUUUCUUGCAGAAUGUGACUGCUUUACUUACUCUGCCCACAGGCCCCUCGCCUACCCUCCUGGCUGGUGGGAUGUAUGGAAGGCAGGGGUGUGGUCAACAGGGAAAGAAAUCACCUUCUAAGGAUGCAGUGACUUCCGCCUGAAGAGUUCAAGAGAAGACAGAGUUGGAAGACACGGUGUUCUAUCUUUAUGUUAUAAAAUUCCAAACUGUAGACUUUAUAUGACCGCAAAAUGGAUUAUUGUUCACAUUUUCCAGCAUUCUCUGGAUGAGACUUGCAUUUAUAGUCAUUAUCAAUGAACCACAGCAGCUACCUUUGACAGGGUCGUUGGAAAGCAGUACUCACAGGCCGCACAAUGGAUGACCCACUGUUAUGCAUACAUGGUAUAAGUAACAUUAAAUACGUGCAGAGAUGAGAUCUGUAUAGUUGCAAUAUAAGCAAGCUCCAAAAAGUCCUGACAUUGUGAGUAAUGACAGCAUUGCACCCUGUUUUUGGAGGUGGAAGAUGUGAAAUUCUCCAGGAAUGGCACAUUUGACAAUAAAGAACAUGAAGAGAUGAUUCCUGGACCCAAACAGAAAAGAUGGUCUCUGGACAUCUGCCCUGAUUGGACAAUAAAUACAUAUCAAAGUACCUCUUCCAGCUCUUCCUACACAUUAUUCUACACCUUCAGCAAUAAAUCACUAUACUUUCCAGGGGCCCACACAUUUUGUAAAACAUUUUUUAAUCAAAGUGUUUAGUUAGGGCCUUGCAAAAAGAGAAUUUUGCCUGGGGCUCCAUGUACUCCACAUGGGGGCACCUCUGCUUGUCUGAGACCUUUGCUUUCAGAGUUAACAAGUAUUAAUUGACUCACUACCCAGUACUGUGUUCCAUGUCAAAUGCUGGGAGGCCAAACCUCAUCAAAACUUGUAUGAUGCAACCACUGCCCCCAAGACCCAUGGUCUUGCUGGUUACACAAGACUUGGACAUAUGAAAUAUCAGGAAAAAUAUAGGACUAGAUAUUAUAUGAUGCUUAAAUAAACACAUUCCAAAACAUAUGGCAGAGAUAGUUAACGCUAAGGGUUUAGGAAGGGGCGAGCUCAGUGUGGGCUGGUGUCUCCAGGAAGGCUUGGUGGCACUCGGUAUGAGCCCUGAGGCACAAGCUGGACUUGGACAGGCUCCGAAGUAUGUAGACGGCAGGCUGGGCAGGGGCGGCAGCGGGAAUCCCUUGAGGAAGGACCCCAUUUCACGAGUCAGACUUGAGGAGCUUCGGAACUGAAGAAGGCACAGCCCCUGCUUUCUUGGAGCUGGAGUCUCUCUGAAGAGCAUAAGCUGCCUUGGAGUGGGAGUGCUGAGCUCUAAGGAAACCCGUCACUGCCCUGUGAACAGGAGACGUUGAUGGCACACCUUCUGGAGGGGUAGAAAUCUCUCACUGGAAAUCAUCUUGGUGGUCUCUUCAACACCAAUUUCCUGAUAUGGACUUAGCCCAACAACCAGACUCCCGCCUGGCCUUCUUUCCACUUUGUUCCUAUCUUCAUGCUGCCUUGCCCACCCACGUGUGAUUUCGGCAGCUGUCUGCUUGCCCUGUUCUCUAAGCAUGAAUCCUGGUUUUCAUCUUGCACUCCUAACCAAGCCUCAAUUCAGGGCUUACAUGAUGCCGUGAGCCCUAGACUUGCAGUCAGAGGAUCUGUGGCUCAAGCUGGCUCUGCCACAUACUGGCUCUGUGACCUCGGGCAGGUCAUUGCAUGCCUCAGAACCUCUUCUGUUUCUUCAUUUAUACAUGGAGAUAGUGAUGCUUUACCACUUAUUUUAGAGGGUGCUUUGAGGAGAAAAUGAAGUACUUUAGCUUAAAAGAAUAAUAUCUAAUACUUAAAUAGAGCUCACUUUGUGCAAGGCAAUCAUCUAAGAGCUUUAGAGAUAUAUUAACUCUUUCAGUUCACACAAUAACUUUGUGAAGAAGAAACUAUUAUUAUUGCCAUUUACAGUGGGAAUGUUUAGACACAGAGAGAUUCAGUUAAUUUCCCAAAGACUAACACAUCUAUUAAGGGUAAGAGCUAGGAUUUAAAUCCUGGUAGUCUGGGCCCAGACUCUGUUCCCUUAACAACCCCAUUAUACUGUUUAUCUAAUAACAAGAAGAGAUAACACUUAUAUAAGGCUUACCAUGUGCCAGCCACUGCUCCAAAGGUCCAAUUAACUCAUUUAAUCCUCACAAUAACCCUUUGAGGUCUCUAGGAGGCAGGUACUGUUGUUAUCUGUAUGUGAAUGAUCUGGAAAGAUUCCAUAUGUGGGAAGUGGAACAGCUGUACCUUUUCCUGGUCCUCCUGCUAAAGACAACUGAAAACCCUGGACAGUCCACAGAAACAAACACAAGAAGACUCUGAAAUGUGGAGAGAAGAAGGCAGACCAACUAGGGACCUCGGAAUCCAAGGAACAGUAUGGUGGUGAGUUCCCUGGGUCUUCUUUUUUGCCUUAUAUUUCCCAGACUUGGAGCUGAAGGAGCUGGCAGCCUGGAAAUGCCAAUGACUCUAGAAAGAAAAAGCCCCAACAGAAGCCCACUCUCUCUAGGAAAAGGAGCAACCUCGCAAGAUAGGAAACAUUUAGAUAAUAACUGGUCUACUCCAGCCAAACACUACAGAAAAAUCUAUGACCCCUCUCCCACCCAUUCCAGUAAGGCUGAGUGGGGAGCCUGGACUUCCAUUUCUGUGGAGUUUUAACAAGGAGCCCAAACCUCUCUGCCAGGGUGUUGUCAGAAAGGGCUGAGUAGAGAGCCAGGACUUUCAUCCCCUGGAGCUAAUGAGGCCUCCUCAUGCUGUCAGUGGAGAUCAACUGGGAGCCUGGACUUCCAUCUCCAUUUGGCGGCAGUCAGGCGCCCUCCCCAUCCUCACUGGGAUGGUGUCUAAAGAAGCCUAAUGGACAGUCAGAACUUUCACCACUGCCCAGCAGCACGGAGGUCCCCGCACAGCCCCACCAUGAUGUCAGCGGAGGCCAUGUGAGGAGAGUAGUGAGGCAUCUGGAUGCUGCCCAGCCAGGUAGGUAUCAGCAGAGACCUAGUAGGGAGCCAGAACUCCCACCCACAUCAAGCAGUAAAGAGGAACCCCACCUCUAUGUCAACAAAGGGCAAGUGGAAACUUACUCUCACCUGGCAGUGGUGGCGGGUCCCCUCUUCUUCCCCUGCUCAAGUAAUGUCAGAGGAAACCAGAAAAAAUGAGGGCUUAAAUAAGACCCAGAGUCUCACAACAUAAUGCCCCAGAUGCCCAGAAUUCAGUAAAAAAAUAAUUGCUCAUUACAUCAAGAACAAGGAAGAUAAACUAAGUGAAAACAGACAAUCAACAGAUACCAGCACCAAGAUGACAGAGAUGUCGGAAUGACCCGACAAAGAUUUUUAAACUGUCAUCAUGAAUAUGCCUCUGUGGCUUAUUUCACUCAGCACAACACCCUCCAGGAAGGCCUUUCUUAGGAAGGAGAGCAAAAAAGAAGAAAAUUAGGUCCAUGUGUGCUUGUUUUUUCUUGUUUUUUCCUCUAAUAUCUUGAAGAGAUGUACUUAUUUUGACAGCUUUCUGAAAUACUGCAUCCAAAGUGCCCCCCGAAUAUAAUGAUCAGAACUUCUCUAAAUCCAUUAACUCAUUCUCUUAACAACUUAGAAUGGAUGUUGGAGAGGCAGCGGCUUAAAGAUAUUUCCGUGUUUCUUGUAUACUUUCUUUUACUUUAUCAACAACUCAUUUCACACAAUUUCCCAUGCGUAUUUCCCUAAAUCUCUUUUUCUGAUUUUUUUUUUUUAGCCAAAGGCAGAAUUUAACGACAACACCAUACCCCUGAGAUUUCCGAUCCUAGCAUCAUGGUGUUCAUCUCUUGUUUUUUUUUUCCUCUGUUACCUCUACUUACAGAUGAAUCAGUAAGAACUCUUCUAUCUUUUAAGAAUCUUGGCUGUCACUGACAAUCUCUUAUUUUCCUUUCUAGCUUCAUAUCUUUCUUCCACAUCUUUCUCAAACUGUAUUCUUGCUUUUCUACUUUAUUUUCACCCUGGGAUUUUCCUGAUAACCUCUUUCUGUCACCACACUGAAAAUCUACUGUUAUCUGUUAUUAUUUUCAUUUCUUGCCCUUGAGAAUAAAAGAAGAUAAAUAGAUUUUAACACCACAGUGCACUUUUUUCUUUUUCUAAAUCACUUUAGAACUAGAUAUUUCACAUUAAGUGCCAUAUAGAACAGAAAUCUCAAAAUCAAUUUUCUUUUUUUUACUGAAAUGAAAGAUGCCAGAGUGAUGACAUAGAAGCUUCUUUCCUAUUCUCAAGUACUUAGAGACAGGCUCCUUCUGAACAGGAAUGAAAUUCAGAAAUAUCCGGGAUUAACAUGAGGUCUCUGUGGAGUCGCAUGUCACAGCUGUGUCCUGAGACCUUUGUAAUGGAUGAUUUCGGUUGCUCAACCAGUGCCCGUCAUCAGCACUGCAGAGUGUUGGGGCUGUGCUGGUGGCAGCUGAAGUGCUCUCGUCCUUCAUUUUCUCGAUGAGGCAGCCUCAGCUGUGAGGGAGUCUUGGGUCACCAUCGAAUCUUGGGCUGUGAGAACUCUGAGUUUAUGCAUGAGAUCUGAAUUUAUUCCUCCGGAGCUGGCUGUUCAUUCAGCGAGCAAAUCUUACUCAAAUCAGCCUAAGUAGAAAGAACUUAUUUUAUUUAUUUAUAUAUUUUUUUGAGGAAGACUGGCCCCGAGCUAACAUCCAUGCCCAUCUCCCUCUACUUUAUAUGUGGGACGCCUACCACAGCAUGGCUUGCCAAGCGGUGCCAUGUCCGCAGCCGGGAUCUGAACCAGUGAACCUGGGGCCACCGAAGCUGAAUGUGCGCACUUAACCUCUGCGCCACCGGGCCGGCCCCAAAAGAACUUAUUUUAAGAUCCAGAGCUUCUGGAAUCCUAGGGAAUCUGGGCCUUCUGUGACAGGAACUGGGAACUAGAAAGGUUCAAUCUAAGGAGCUCUCUCCAGGUCUUCCUCUUUCCUUCUCUUUCUCUGUGUCCCUUUCUCUCUGUAGCCACGUGGCCCCUCACGUGCACACUCGCUCUCCCUCACCCCAUCUCAUUCUUCUUCUUUUUCUCUAUGGGCUUGUGGCUCUAAAUGUCCACUAGACCCAACAUUUCAUCAUUAUUGUCCUGCCCAGCCUCCUCCUCCAGCUGACCCCGUCUCUCAGGGUUCUAAUUUCAAAAUCCCUGAGCAAGAAAUUUGGUCCUGACACUCCCUUCCAGAGCUAUGCCGUAGACUUCGGGAAAGCCUAUAGGUGGGAUGCUUCCCUGAACUUAAUUAGUGACCUUCUGGGAUCUAGGACUCCUCACUCACCCAUGCCAGGGGCAGUGGGCAAGUUACAAUUGUCUGAAAAAAGAUGGGGCAACUUUAUCUAAUUAUUAGUGCACUCUCUAGGGACAUUUAUUUGUUUAUUAUAUCCUGGCAAUACUUUUCAAAAAAGCUUAACGUUUGCUGUAGAGGGAGAAGUCACUCCCUCACUUUCAGCCUGAGCCAGUUGGGGAUCCUUUAAUCCCCUUUGCAGUAGUGUCUGCGGGAGCUGCUAUGUAAUUGUGAGGACUAUGAUAUUUUGGGGGCUGGGAUACUGGAAAGAGCAAUGGGUUGAUGGUUGACAAUCCAAAGAUUAUACCCAGGUCCUGACCUGAUCUUAAUUUACUCUACGACCUUGGGAAAAUCAAAUCAUUUUCUGGGCUUCAUUUUUUCAUUUGUAAAAUGAGGCAGCUGGUGUGAAUCAGUGGUUCUCAGAUUUUUAGAGCAUGAAAACUCUUCUUAAGUUCAAAAAGUUAUGGAUACCACAUACUAAUCAUGUCAAUUUUGCUGCCCAGUGAAGGAAAAGAAAGAACUAUAAGUGUAUAUGUGUUCUAAGACUCACAAUAACUCCAAAGUCUCUGAGAAUCCAAAUGCCGCAGGCUGGAACCAUUGGUCCAGCUGACUUUGAGGUUCCUUCUGGCUCUGAUAUUCUGAGAUUCAAGUCAGAGGAAUUUGGACUCCUUAGAAAACAUUCACUUAUUCAAGAGGAAAGCUGACAAAAAAUAUUACCAGAUCCAAGAGCAGCAACAGAAGUUUUCAAGAGAGAUGAAUUAAGGCAGAUUUCAGGGUCUAAAAAUCCAAGCUGAGAGAGAAGAUGGAAGGAAGAAUCAAUGCUAACAGCAGCAGGAGGCUGUGGGGCGACAUGAUGGGCAGCAGGGUUCAUAAUGUGGCUCAUACCAGGAUGAGGGUCAGAUGUCAUGAUCACUACAGAGGGAAGCAGAGAAGUCAAUCUCAACUCCUAGGCAAGGUGGAUAAACUCUUCUGGCCUUAAAGAAAUAUAUUGUGUAAUAAAUAUAUAUAUGUUAUAUAUAAUAAUUAUAUUGUAUAAUAAUAUAUUAAUCAAUGUAAUAUAAUUAAUAAUAUGUAAUAAUAUAUGUUAUAUUAAAUAAUAUUCACAUAUAAAAGCCAGGACGGUGCAUGGUAUAUCAUAGGCUAUAUAUAUAUAUAUAUAUAGAGCCUACUAUAUAUAUUUUCCCCCCUGCCCCUUAAUCACAAUAACAGUUGAAGCGUUACUUAAGCCUUCUAGUUAAACUUCUCUAAAGAUUAGUACCAAUUGAGUUGACAUUAAAAAGUUACUGACAAUGUCUUAGGGCAAUUUCUGUGAUAUAUGUACAAGAGAUAUGCCCACAGAAAAAUACAUUCCUGGAGCUUGUCCUAACACUAUCCCUUUUAUGUUUUUCAAUAUUUUGCAUGCUUAAUAUCAAAAAAGAGAUUGAUUCUCAGAGACAUUCUGCCUUACAGCACUCUUCCUGAAGUUUUAAGGAGAUCUGAACUUGACAGUUUAUAUUUCCUAGAGUCAAAAACAGAUAUGGGUAUUAGGUUGAGAAUAUAAGGUCAAAUUUCUACCCAGAGAGUUAUCUAACUUCAAUAAGAAGCGAGAUAGGCAAAUAGAAAAUUCUUGAGAACUUUUUAAGGUUAUUAAUAUUUUAAUUCCCGUAUUCUAGCAAAGAUUACCUUAAAAGAAUAGAGGCUCCCUCUUCUCCUCCAGUAAACUCAACUGUAGACGGUCUAAGAAACACAUAAAGCUUAUAAGAAAGUGUUGGUCCCAAUCUGAGUCAAACUAAAAUGUAGUGUUUUGAGCAGCUCACAGAGUGUAAGAAAACUAGACCCUUCACAUUCUCCUGAAAGCUGCAGAAGUGUACUGACAGAGGAAUUGUAUUUCCUUUUUCAAUGAAUCAAAUUGCAUUACUUGAUUCUUCAGUGACUAAUGUUCAUGUAUUUGUGUAUUGUGAAUGAUGUGUUCUGUUUUCAGUUUUCAGAAUCUACCGAUAGACAAAGUAUGUUUAAAUCUAAACCUUAAAAAAUUUAAAUUGGUGAUAUAGCUGAUAGAAAUUGAAAGUGGGAGCAGGAGGAAGAAGAAGUAAGAGGAAAUGUAGGGGUGCUAAUUUCUCCCUCUCCCAUGGAUGGGGGUAAGAAAUAGACUAUUGUAAAUGGGUCCGUAAGUAGAGGUUAAGGACUUCUAAUUUUAAGAUGGUGGGAUAUUUCUAUAUGUUUCUCUUCUAAAUAAUCACCCCAAAGCAACAGAAAGAAUAAGAAACACAGACUCCAACUUUGCUGUCACUUAAUAAGAGACAUCUGAAACAAUAAACCAUAGUAUAGAAAGAUGGAUAGCAGAAGGAGGAACGACCAGUGACAUAAGAGCACAUGCAGAGAGAGGCCCUGCUGGGAAGCAACUGAAAGAAGGAUUGUUUGAAAGUCUGUAAAAGAGACAGUCAUAUCCCACAUCUACACACUCAUUCCUCAAACCUUCAGUGAGAGAAAACUGAAGCAGGGGCUUUCUGGGCUCAAGAUCACCUGGUCAAGAAGAGGAAGGCAGCAAGUGGAAGGAAGACAGAAGUUUGUAAAAAUUUUGGCAUAUGUCCAGCAGUUUUCAAAAUUUCAAAACAUGAGGAUUACUAAAAGUUGGCAUAUUGAAGAUUAACAGCCUCAGCCUUCCUCCCUUUCCCACCUUCUCUACUCCCUGCUAUAAAACACUGGGAACAGAAAGGUUAGAGAUCUUUUCCUAGAAAAACAAACCAUUCCAGAAUAAAGACCUCCAGAUCCUGACAUUUGCAGCAACUGGUGGAAGAGCUGGCAUCUCCCUUCAGUCAAACCCACUGGUUGAUGAGCCGUGUCCGAGCAUAUAGUCAGCCAGGAAUCACCCAAAAGUCAAGGAAAUCCUCCAACAUGAAAGAAUAGGACAAAGAAAACCCCCAAAAUACCCUAAAAGAAAAAAGGAAGUCAGAAGAACUCAGAAAAAAAUUAGGGAAAUCACCAAGAAAGUAAAACAAAAAGGCAGAGAUGUACAAUAAGAAAGGAAAAAUACAGGAGGCUCAACAUCUAAAUAAUGGCAAUUCCGGAGAGAGAAUAGAGAACAGAAAAAGUAGUGGGCAGAAAUUUAUCAAAGUGACAAUCGAAGAAAAUUUCCCAAAAUAAAGGUUGGACUGAUUGCCCAGCUCAAUGAAUGGAAAACACGUCCCCUGUAAAGCCCCAUCACUGUGAAAUUUCAAAACCUGAGGGAUAAAGAGAAGAUCCCAAAAGCUUCCAGAUAGAGAAAGAGAAAACCAAUUUACGUACAAACAACCGGUUACAUGAAUGGCAGUGUUUGUAGCCUUAUAAAUCUUGCCACUCACAGAGAUCUUUUUCUUCCAUUUGAGCCAAUUGCGUAGUCAAACUCUUUCUCCUGAAGGCCUACCAUCUGAGAUUUACCUCUUAAUUCUUCCCUUAUCGCCCAUCUUGUUCCACUCAUUGAAAAUAUUCAAAAAAUUUCUACCAAAUACUCAGUCUCUUCCUCCCUUAACCCAGUGCCAGACCUGCCACUGUGACAGACUAAGCAUAUACUGGCCUGGAUCUGCCUCCUUUUGCUGGGAGAGCCAUCUCUUCAGUUGUCCUCUGUACUUGGCAGUGGUGAGUGUGGAUUUCCAGGCCAGCUGACCUCAGUUACCAGGGUGUCAGCAGAGACUGCCUCCAACCUGCUCUUGUCUCACCAAGAUGUUGACAGCCCCUCUCUUCCUCCUGCUUGGAGCCAAGUCAACCUACAAAUACUGUCACAUCACCAUGAGAAUUCUGUCUGCCGAUUCCCAAACCAGAGACCCAUCCACUCAGCAUUGUUACCAGCUAGAGAAGGGCAACCAUCACAGGCUACACACAGACAUCUGGCUUCCUUCUCUGGAAAUUUUCUCUCUACCCUCUCCAGGGACCGGCACAUUCUUUCAUCAGAACAGGUGCAUGUGCACCAUAGUGAUGAAGUCAACUGAGUAACCUCAACCUGUGAGACGGACAAACACCUGAGGAAGUUACUAUUUUCCUAAAUUGAUGUUUCUGAGCAUUACAUGAGUUUAUCCAUCAAGUAUCUAUUGAGUCCCUACUAAAGAGCAGCCAGUGCUCCUGGUGCUGAAUACACUGAACACAACAGAAAGUUCUGCUCUCAAGGAGAUUAUAAAGGGGAGAUGACAGUGAACACAUAAAUAUAAUACAUGUCAUAUGCAAUAAAGAUAAAAUAAUAUAAAAUAUAAAAGUGUGUGAAAAUAUAGUAAGUAAAUAUAUAUUAUUUACUACAUAUUAAAUAUAUAAAUAAUAUUAAAUAUUAUGUAAAAUAAUGGAAAUAUACAAUAAAUCAGGAAGUGCUAUGAAGAAGAUCAAGUAGGGUAGGGCACUGGUGUGGUUACUGCAUUUACAUUUCAAGCAGAUCAUUUCUUAAUAUCUUCCUCCUUUCUAUGGCAAAAUUAUUUACAUUUUAAUGUAAAUAAAGAAAUAAAAUAAAUUAUAAUAAAAUAAAAUAUUAUUAUGUGAAAGUUAUAUUCCAUAAUUGUGAAAUGAAGCACGUAGCAGACAGACUCUAAGGGAGCCCCCGUGACGCCCACCUUCUGCUUUCAUGCCUUGUGGACCCCCUUCCGCUUGAGUGUGGGCAGGGCCUGUGACUUGUUGUACCAACAGAAUAGGUCAAAUGUGUUGAGUUGGGACUAUGCCACAUAAGCUUGGAACCCAUCUUGCUUGGAGGCUCCCUCGCUUGCUAGCUUUGAGGAAGCAAGGGCCAUGUUGGAGAGGCCCACGUGGCAAGGAGUUGAGGGCAGCCUCUGACCAACAUCCAGCAGAAGACUAAGUCCUUCAGCCUGACAAUCCACGUUGACUGAAUCCUGUCGACAACCAGACUGCCCCUGAGCUAACAGCUGUGCCCAUCUUCCUCUACUUUAAUGUGGGAUGCCUGCCACAGCAUGGUGUGCCAAGUGGCGCGUAGGUCCGCACCAGGGAUCCGAACCAGUGAACCAGCCCGGCCGCAGAAGAGGAACGUGCAAACUCAACCACUGCACCACCCUGCUGGCGCCCAUGUGGUAACAUUGUUAUGCAGCAAUAGAUAACUAAUACAAAACACGUGUUACUAAUGGCCAGAAAAGAAAAGCAGACAGUGAAACUUGCUUUGUUUAGCUUCAUAUUUAUAAUUAUGCCAGUCAAAAAAAUUAAUACAAAAUAGAAUAAAGUAAAUAAAAAUAAGUAACUAAAAGAUAAAAAAGGAAGUGUGGGUUAAAUUUUUUAAAUAUAUUGUGUUCUUUUGAAAAAGAGAAAAUGUUCAUCUGUCACAGGAAUAAAUAAUAUUAUGGUUUCUGUUUUCAAGCCUUAACUUCUGCAAAUUUGUCAAUGGCUUCAUCAAAAAUGGAUCUUUUUCGCAUGUUCAUGCUCAAUACAAAGUCUAGCUAGAUUUGUCAAUUUGUCGUUGCACAUAGUGGAUCUUUACACAGGACUAUGUCACACCACCAGGUUGGGAUUUCCAGUUGUCCCCAAAGCAGGCUCAAAUGACUCUUUGACACACUUACCAACAAACGUGUAUAGCCCUGUGCAUACAAAACGUGUAUAGCCCAACAGGGGGCCGACCGUACAGCUCAAACUUCUCUGAAUUAACUUCCAGGUAGAAUUCCACAGAACACCAUGUUUGUUACAGGAUAAGUAAAAUUAAUGUGCUCAUUUAAAGUGCACGUAUGGAUUUUUUAAACUCUAAUAUCCGCAAUUGUUUGGAACUUCGACCGACAAAAGCUUUGUUUUUGGUUUUUCUCAGAAGAGUAUUCCAUCACCGAUGUUGUUUAGAAUUCCUGGUACAUGGAAUUAAAUAAAUUUUGAUAAAUAAAAAGCAGACUGAGUUGUAGUCAGUUUUAUUACUGUUGGCCUGUGCCUGGGGCACACUCCGCCUGCUGCUCUGCGCUCUGCGGUAAAAGAGAGGGAGUAAAGAAGACUGUGAUUGUAUUCGGGGCUUUUAGGGGAGGUCUCUCUGACGAGGUGAUAUUUGAGCAGAGACCUGAGUGCAGUGAGAGAAUGAGGCAUGCCACUAGCUGGGGAGGAGGAUUGCAGCAAACACAAAAGCUCUAAGCCAGAUUGCGGCUGGUGUGUCUGAGGAACAGCAAGAAACCAGGGGACCGAAGCAGAAGAAGCGAGGGGGCGUUGGAGCUGAUGAGGUCAGAGAAGCAGUGAGUCAGGGCUGGGGAAAGAACCCAGGACCGUCUGAGGCAUCUGGUACCUGUUUCCAUCACAGUCCUUCACACCUGGUGAUGUGAGCUCCGACCUGGUGAAAUUAGACUGGAUUUCCAAAAACCUCACUUGAAUCAAAUAUUUCGUACUUAAUGGAACUCAGUUUCCCAGCUUAGAAAAUGAGGAUAACAUAACCUAUCUUGCAGAGCUAUUGUGCUUAUUAAAUUAAAUAAGAUAAUACUUGUGAAAGUGCUUUGUAAUCUGUAAAGCACCGUGAAAAGGACCACUCUUGUUGUUGUUGCUAUUAAGAGAAGUUGGUUAAGUGCUCAAGAACCAGGGGAGCGGAGAUGUUCUCAGCUGAGCGCUCUGGAUCCUGCCGCCCUCUUCCCUAACUGCUCCAUCGCCUUGCUUUCCAAUGCCUUUCCCACACUCUUUCCUUCAGCAGGAGGCUUUGGUGAACGCAGUCAGCCAGGCAUGCUUCUCGUCAGCAUGACAGGAGGUGCAUAACCACCCACGGUGAUAGCGCCUAACCAAGCUAAACAGUAUAAGAUAACCUUCAUUUGCAAAUCUGAUGAGCGAAAUUACAGGGUUCAGCUCUAAUAGAGGGGGGAAAUGAAGCUCAAGAUCAUUAUUUCCACAUCUAAGAUUAGUAGCUGGAAAAUACAGUACCUCUGUAAAAUGACAGUGUCAAAGACACCCCAGUUUUGCACGACUCCAGCACCCACACAAAAGAAGAAUCACUUCAGAGAAUAGAAAUGGAGAUGCUGCUCUCCCAGAGGUCAUGCCAGAUGGACAUAUCUGAGUGUUCGCCACAUACCCCACCAGUCUACCAUGACAUCGUUUGUUGAAACUACUGAUAAAGGUCGUCGGAAAAUAUCUGCUAACCCAAAGGAAAAUAUGAGCUGUCUUUCCAUUCUUUUUCUCUUUCAUAGGUCAGAAGUAAGUGCUCUUUGCCUAGAGAAAUACUCCCUUAUAUAAAUCAAGUAGAGAAGAUGAGGACGGAAGGAGUAAAUGGGGGAGUAAGAAGUUGUCUCAGGAGAAAGUGAACACCUCCCUUACAUUUCCACAGGCUGUUCACCCCUUCAUCAUAGUCAGUCAUUUACCAGGGGUCUUGGCUUCUAAUAGACCUGGGUUUGACUUGGUGUGAGACCUGGGGCAAGCUGCUUAACAUUCCUAAGUCUCUGUUUCUCAUUCUGUUUUCUCAUUUCUACUGUUUUUCAGUAAGAGGUGAUAACAAGAGAGCCUAACUAGUAAGACUGGUGAAGAUUAAAUGAGAAAGUCUAUGUAAGCCCACCACAGUGCUGGGGAUAUGGUUGGUGUUCAGUAAGUGCUAGCUAUUUGUAUGAUUAUUGGGGAGAAAUUACUAAAAAAGUUUUAUCAGGGGGAAAAAACAUAAGAAUGAGGGAAAAUAGUCAACUUUAAGAAUUGUUCUUAGUUUCCUAGGAUUUAUCUAACAUGGGUGCUAUAAUGCUUAGUCUAUGUGAACUAUUUAAAAAAACAAAACAGGAGUUUAUUCAAUACAGAGCAUUUCAAAAUACGCUUGGUUUAAAAUUUCUUAAUAUAUUACGAUUCAGGAUAAUGUGAAUUACUAUUUAAGAAAAACAUGUAUGAUAAAAUUUAAAUGACAGCAUUAAUACUUUUAAAGCAAACACUUCCAUGUUACCCAUAGAAAUAAUUAUUCUUGGUACAGUAGAGCAUUAUCUGGAACGUGAGUAAAUGAAGAGUUCAUGCCACGUAAAUAAAAUUUCCAAAUUACUAAAACCAAACCCUUAAACAGCAAAACUUUAAAAAGAGAUUUUUAAAAUGUGUUUAUGUUAUUGUAUCUAUUAUUUAUUAUAAUGUGUACAUAUGCAUAUAUACAACAUUUUAGAUGGCCAUGUUGGACAGUUUUCCUUAUUCUUAGUGUUUUCUUAUUGCCUUUGCUUCACUGAUCUGAACACCAAUUACUGCGUAAUGCUGGAAUAGGAAUUCCCUCUGGAGCCUGUAAAGCUCACAGGAUGGAAACUCACCAGCCCAAAUGGCCUUGCACUGAACAAUUUUUCAAAAACACUUUAGGGGAGGAAAAACUUUCCCUCAACCCUCUUAGGGUCCUUGGCUGGGCCUGAAAAUUAAACUGACGCAUGACAGAGGAGCCUUCAUUCGGAAAUGAAGACCUAAAGAGAAGGUUAAACUUCAGCGUUUUUAUACUAGGUUUAAUCAAGAGUAGGAAGUCAUGCGGGGUUCAAGCGCUCUGCUUUGGUGGCCCAGGGUUACGUGGUUCAGACCCCGGCGCGGACAUGGCACCGCUCAUCAGGCCACGCUGAGGCAGCGUCCCACAUGCCACAACUAGAAGAACCCACAACUAGAAUAUACAACUAUGCACUGGGGGGCUUCAGGAAGGAGAAGGGGGGAAAAAAGGAAGAUUAGCAACAGAUGUUAGCUCAGGUGCCAAUCUUUAAAAAAAAAAAAAAAUGUUCUCUGACUAUGAUGGAAUAAAACUAGAAAUAAAUAACAGAAAGAUAACAGAAAAAUCUACGGAUGCUCGGAAAUUAAACAACACACUUCUAAUUAAACCAUAGAUGAAAGAGGCAGUCUUAAGGAGAAUUAGAAAAGAUUUGAAACUAAAAGGAAGAAGAUUUUAAAAGAAAGAUUUUAAAAUAAAAAUAUAACAUAUCAGAGCCAGCCCCGAUGGCCUAGUGGUUAAAGUUCGGUGUGUUCUGCUUUGGCGGCCUGGGUUCAGUUCCAGGCCACAGAGCCACACCACUCAUCUGUCAGUGGCCGUGCUGGGGCAGUGGCUCACAGAGAAGAACUAGAAGGACCUGCACCUAGAAUACACAACUGUGCACUGGGGCUUUAGGGAGGGAAAAAAAGAGAGGAAGAUUGGCAACAGAUGUUAGCUCAGGGCAAAUCUUUCCCAGCAAAAUAAAAUACAACAUAUCAAAAAUCAUGGAAUGCAGAUUAAACAGUACUUAGAGGGAAAUUACAGCAUGAAAUGCUUCUAUUUAAAAAAGAAGAAAGAUUUUGUAUCAAUAAUGUAAGCUUCCUCCUUAAGAAACUAAGAAAGAGCAAAAUAAACCCAAAGCAAAUGAAAGGAAGAAAAUAAUGAAGACGAGAGCAGAAAUCAAUAAAAUUGAAACCAGAAAAACAAUAGAGAAAAUCAAUGAAAUAAAAAGCUGACUCUGGAAAAAUUAAUAAAAUUAAUAAAUCCCUAUCAAUAUUAACCAAAAAAAAAAGAGAGAGAAGACACAAAUUACCAAUUACAGGAAUAGAAAGAAUAUCACUAUAGGCCCACAGACAAGAAAAUGUUAAUAAGGGAUACUGUGCACACUCUAUGUACAUAUAUUCAACAAUGUAAAUGAAAUGGACUGAUUCCUUGAAGACCAUAAACCACCAAAAUUCACUCAAGAUGAAACAUAUGUUAUCUCAUAACUGCUAACGAAAUUGAAUUCAUAGUUUAAAAACUUCUGGAAAAGAAGUCUCCAGGCCUGGAUGGUUUCACUGGAGAAUUUUACCCAACAUUUAAGGAAGAAGCAACAUCAUUCUACAUAAUCUCUUCUAGCAAGUAAAAAAGGAGGAAACAUUUCUUAACUCAUUUUAUGAGGCCAGCAUUCCACUGAUACCAAAAUCCACUGACAAUACAAUGAAAAAAAACUAAAGACCAGUAUCCCCUCCAAACAUAGAUGCAAAAAUUCUCAAAAAAAUUAGCAAAUUAAAUCCAGCAACAUAUAAAGAGAAUAAUACACCAUGAUCAAGUAGUCUUCAUCUCAGUAAUGCAAAGCUGGUUCAAUAUUCAAAAUCAAUCAAUGUAAUUCAC
Molecule: long non-coding RNA, 20667 nt
Organism: Equus caballus (horse)
Lineage: Eukaryota; Metazoa; Chordata; Mammalia; Perissodactyla; Equidae
Source: Ensembl